GCUAUUGGAGUUCGAUUAAGACAUGCGAGUCUGAGCAUUAGCUCGGCGUACCGCUCAGUAACACGUGGGUAACCUGCCCUAUCGUUUUGAAUAACCUCGGGAAACUGAGAACAAUACAUCAUAGUCCACUACGCCUGGAACGGUGAGUGGAUGAAGGUAGGAUGGGCCUGCGGCGUAUCAGGUUGUAGGGGGUGUAAUGGACCUCCUAGCCAUCGACGCGUACGGGUGUUGGGAGACAUAGCCCGGAGAUGGAUUCUGAGACACGAAUCCAGGCCCUACGGGGCGCAGCAGUUACGAAAACUUGGCAAUGCGGGAAACCGUGACCAGGGAACUCCAAGUGAGUCUCUUUUAGGGGCUCUUUUCUUGACUCUAAAACGGUCUUGGAAUAAGGGGUGGGUAAGGACGGUGCCAGCCGCCGCGGUAAUACCGGCGCCUCAAGUGGUCGUCGCUUUUAUUGGGCCUAAAACGUCCGUAGCCGGUUUGGUACAUUCGUGGGUAAAUCAGCUCGCUCAACGAGUUGAAUUCUGCGAGGACGGCCAGACUAGGGACCGGGAGAGGUGUGGGGAACUCUCAGGGUAGGGGUAAAAUCCUGUCAUCCUGAGAGGACCACCUGUUGCGAAGGCGCCACACUAGAACGGAUCCGACGGUCAGGGACGAAGCCUAGGGGCACGAACCGGAUUAGAUACCCGGGUAGUCCUAGGUGUAAACGCUGUGGACUUGGUGUUGGGGAAGCCCAGAGCUUUCCCAGUGNCGUAGCGAAGGUGUUGAGUCCACUGCCUGGGGAGUACGGUCGCAAGGCUGAAACUUAAAGGAAUUGGCGGGGG
This 824-nucleotide ribosomal RNA is filed under the name uncultured marine archaeon AEGEAN_52. RNAcentral's name for it is "bacterial SSU rRNA". It matches the Rfam family "Archaeal small subunit ribosomal RNA", at positions 29 to 874 of the family's 1478-position model. Lineage: Archaea; Methanobacteriati; Methanobacteriota. The record is from RNAcentral.